RNAcentral lists this long non-coding RNA (344 nucleotides) under Androctonus crassicauda. Lineage: Eukaryota; Metazoa; Arthropoda; Arachnida; Scorpiones; Buthidae. The record is from RNAcentral.
UGACCGCUGGUCUGAAACUGAUUGUUCCUCGGCUGCUUAUGGCUAUCUCCCGCUCUUCCGGAGUCAGCCGACUCUUCGCAUGGGCGUAACUGCCGAAAACAUUCACUGAGUUGAAUCUGUUCAAAACGGCCAAUAUGUUCAAAUGCAUGGCCAUUAGAAUGAGGUUUGUGCAGUUGACGUCACAGGUCACAUGUCAGAAGUACAACAAACUUCAAGUACUUUAUAGGCUUAUGAUACGAGGAAAAAAGAUGCCUAAUUUCUGUUGUGCAUUCGGUUGCAGCAAUAAUAGUGCAAAUACGAUGUGUAGAGAGAAAAAUAUUUCAUCUUUUCCCACAUGGUAAGCC